AGCAGUGUAGCAUAGUGGUUAAGGAGCAGGACUCAUAACCAAAAGGUUGCUGGUUCGAUCCCCGCUAGGACACUGCUG
This 78-nucleotide transfer RNA is filed under the name Megalops atlanticus (tarpon). RNAcentral describes it as "tRNA-OTHER". Lineage: Eukaryota; Metazoa; Chordata; Actinopteri; Elopiformes; Megalopidae. The record is from RNAcentral.